UUGAACGCUGGCGGCAUGCCUUACACAUGCAAGUCGAACGGCAGCACGGGUGCUUGCACCUGGUGGCGAGUGGCGAACGGGUGAGUAAUACAUCGGAACAUGUCCUGUAGUGGGGGAUAGCCCGGCGAAAGCCGGAUUAAUACCGCAUACGAUCCACGGAUGAAAGCGGGGGACCUUCGGGCCUCGCGCUAUAGGGUUGGCCGAUGGCUGAUUAGCUAGUUGGUGGGGUAAAGGCCUACCAAGGCGACGAUCAGUAGCUGGUCUGAGAGGACGACCAGCCACACUGGGACUGAGACACGGCCCAGACUCCUACGGGAGGCAGCAGUGGGGAAUUUUGGACAAUGGGCGAAAGCCUGAUCCAGCAAUGCCGCGUGUGUGAAGAAGGCCUUCGGGUUGUAAAGCACUUUUGUCCGGAUAGAAAUCCUUGGCUCUAAUACAGUCGGGGGAUGACGGUACCGGAAGAAUAAGCACCGGCUAACUACGUG
Molecule: ribosomal RNA, 485 nt
Filed under: uncultured bacterium
Lineage: Bacteria
Description: partial 16S ribosomal RNA
Rfam family: Bacterial small subunit ribosomal RNA
Source: RNAcentral